Molecule: ribosomal RNA, 374 nt
Filed under: uncultured bacterium
Lineage: Bacteria
Description: bacterial SSU rRNA
Rfam family: Bacterial small subunit ribosomal RNA
Source: RNAcentral
UAAUACGUAGGGUGCAAGCGUUAAUCGGAAUUACUGGGCGUAAAGCGUGCGCAGGCGGUUCUGUAAGUCUGUCGUGAAAUCCCCGGGCUUAACCUGGGAAUUGCGAUGGAGACUGCAAGGCUAGAAUCUGGCAGAGGGGGGUAGAAUUCCACGUGUAGCAGUGAAAUGCGUAGAGAUGUGGAGGAACACCGAUGGCGAAGGCAGCCCCCUGGGUCAAGAUUGACGCUCAUGCACGAAAGCGUGGGGAGCAAACAGGAUUAGAUACCCUGGUAGUCCACGCCCUAAACGAUGUCUACUAGUUGUCGGGUCUUAAUUGACUUGGUAACGCAGCUAACGCGUGAAGUAGACCGCCUGGGGAGUACGGUCGCAGGAUU